RNAcentral lists this ribosomal RNA (386 nucleotides) under uncultured bacterium. RNAcentral describes it as "bacterial SSU rRNA". It matches the Rfam family "Bacterial small subunit ribosomal RNA", at positions 30 to 419 of the family's 1533-position model. The record is from RNAcentral.
AUUGAACGCUGGCGGUAGGCCUAACACAUGCAAGUCGAACGCGAAAGUCCUUCGGGAUGAGUAGAGUGGCGGACGGGUGAGUAACGCGUAGGAAUCUAUCCUGUAGUGGGGGAUAAUGUUUCGAAAGGAACGCUAAUACCGCAUACGCCCCAAGGGGGAAAGCGGGGGGAUCUUCGGACCUCGUGCUAUAGGAGGAGCCUGCGUCGGAUUAGCUAGUUGGUGAGGUAAAGGGCUCACCAAGGCGACGAUCCGUAGCUGGUCUGAGAGGAUGAUCAGCCACACCGGAACUGAGACACGUCCGGACUCCUACGGAGGCAGCAGUGGGGAAUAUUGCGCAAUGGGCGAAAGCCUGACGCAGCCAUACCGCGUGUGUGAAGAAGGCCUUC